UCGCUUCAGCAGCACAUAUAUUACAAUUUCAGCCAUACAGAGAAGAUUAGCAAGGCCCCUGUGCAAGGAUCACACGCAAAUUCAUGAAGCGUUCCAUAUUUUU
Molecule: small nuclear RNA, 103 nt
Organism: Phacochoerus africanus (Common warthog)
Lineage: Eukaryota; Metazoa; Chordata; Mammalia; Artiodactyla; Suidae
Source: RefSeq, a predicted model, not a curated record